GUGGCUUGCGCACCACUGCGAGGCUGGGCCCCGGCGCUGGCGGGUGGGAGCAGCCCCGAGCCAGCUCCGGCUCCUCCUAGGCUCGGCCGAGCCCCGGGGGCGUGGCCUCCGCGAGCGUCUGCCUCCGCCCGCCGCGCUCGCGCAGGCGCACUGGGGGUCCCGGUCCCGCGAGGUCCUUCGCUGGCGGGUGGGCGGGGGAAGAGUGGGCUCUGCGGGCCGGAGCUAGACGAGCAUCCACCCCUCGGACUCCCGGGAGGUGGCCCUGGGCGUCCCCUUUCUGCCACCGCCGCGGCGCCGGCUGCUUUCUGCGUAGCUGGGCAGGCCCCGGGCCCCCACACCGCCUCUCCCGGGAAUGCGGGCGCUCUGGAGCCGAGGAACGGGGGCGUCCGCAAGGAGGUCAGCUCUCCGGGGCGGAGUUCCUCGGGCGCAGCGCCCUCGCCUGGAAACCAGCCGUCGCCCCCGCAGGAGCCAGCCGGCCCGUGGACGCCCCAGAGCGCUCCUUCUCGGUGCUGCCGGUCGUCCUGCAGUUCCGCGAGGAAGGAAAGCGGAUUUGGAGGAACAGGUUUCGUGACUGUCAUCAGACUGGAAAAGGCCCCUCGAGCUGGAAGGGAGGGGACGGGGGCACCCUCAGAGUUACUGCUGGAGGCUGUGGCCAGGCCGGGCAAGGUGGUGACUCCCGCUGGCAGGCUGCAGCCCCCCCAACCCUCCCACCUGCGCCACGGGGCUCCAGGCGGGAACCCCAGUUAUGACCGGACACCAGCGCACCGCCAAGGAGACAGCCACGUGGGGACACGCCGGGCUAGCAGGGUGAGGAUUUGCCUGAGCCUGAAGGAUCCUCCCAGCACUGUCAAGCCCCAGAUUCCACCUCCCUGUGGGUGGACUGUCAGCGCAGGCCCUGACAACAGAGAAAGACACAGGACCCAGCUGGGCCAGUAGCGCCUGCAGUAGCUCCUGGUGCCACAGGAAUGGAAAUUGUGACUCAUAAUGGUCAGCCAGACAGUCAAUGAUUAUCCCCACCAGGCCCUGGUGCAUCAAGAUUUGCUA
Long non-coding RNA from Macaca mulatta (Rhesus monkey), 1044 nucleotides. The record is from Ensembl. Lineage: Eukaryota; Metazoa; Chordata; Mammalia; Primates; Cercopithecidae.